GCCAGACUCCUACGGGAGGCAGCAGUGGGGGAUAUUGCACAAUGGGGGGAACCCUGAUGCAGCGACGCCGCGUGGGUGAAGGAGCGUUUCGGCGCGUAAAGCCCUAUCGGCAGGGAAGAAGGAGGACGGUACCUGGCUAAGAAGCCCCGGCUAACUACGUGCCAGUAGCCGCGGUAAUACGUAGGGGGCAAGCGUUAUCCGGAUUUACUGGGUGUAAAGGGGGCGCAGACGGCAGCGCAAGCCAGGAGUGAAAGCCCGGGGCCCAACCCCGGGACUGCUCUUGGAACUGCGCGGCUGGAGUGCAGGAGGGGCAGGCGGAAUUCCUGGUGUAGCGGUGAAAUGCGUAGAUAUCAGGAGGAACACCGGUGGCGAAGGCGGCCUGCUGGACUGCGACUGACGUUGAGGCCCGAAAGCGUGGGGAGCAAACAGGAUUAGAUACCCCAGUA
RNAcentral lists this ribosomal RNA (446 nucleotides) under uncultured bacterium. Its description in RNAcentral is "partial 16S ribosomal RNA". It matches the Rfam family "Bacterial small subunit ribosomal RNA", at positions 330 to 792 of the family's 1533-position model. The record is from RNAcentral.